CCUACGGGUGGCAGCAGUGGGGAAUAUUGGACAAUGGGGGGAACCCUGAUCCAGUCAUGCCGCGUGUGUGAAGAAGGCCCUCGGGUUGUAAAGCACUUUCAGUGAGGAAGAACGCCUGGUGGUUAAUACCCAUCAGGAAAGACAUCACUCACAGAAGAAGCACCGGCUAACUCCGUGCCAGCAGCCGCGGUAAUACGGAGGGUGCGAGCGUUAAUCGGAAUUACUGGGCGUAAAGCGCGCGUAGGUGGCUUGAUAAGCCGGUUGUGAAAGCCCCGGGCUCAACCUGGGAACGGCAUCCGGAACUGUCAAGCUAGAGUGCAGGAGAGGAAGGUAGAAUUCCCGGUGUAGCGGUGAAAUGCGUAGAGAUCGGGAGGAAUACCAGUGGCGAAGGCGGCCUUCUGGACUGACACUGAUACUGAGGUGCGAAAGCGUGGGUAGCAAACAGGAUUAGAUACCCCAGUAGUC
Molecule: ribosomal RNA, 465 nt
Filed under: Vreelandella stevensii
Lineage: Bacteria; Pseudomonadati; Pseudomonadota; Gammaproteobacteria; Oceanospirillales; Halomonadaceae
Description: partial 16S ribosomal RNA
Rfam family: Bacterial small subunit ribosomal RNA
Source: RNAcentral